AUGUCCUGUCAGCAGCACUGUGGCAGGAGCAUUGGAGUCAGGAUCACAUGGUGGAAGGAGCCCUGUUGUCAGGAUCAUAUGGUGGCAGGAGCAGGAGGUUACAGGAGCACUGGUGCAGGAGCAUUGCAGCAGCAGGAGGAGGGAGUAGGAGCAGGUCAUAGCAGGAGCACUGUGGCAGGAGCACUGUGGGUAGAACAUUGGAAUCAGGAGCAUUGGAGUCAGGAUCACUGGUGGCAGGAGGACUGGUGUCAGGAGCACAGGGUGUCAGGAGCACAUGGUGGAAGGAACACAGGUCUCAGGAGCACUGGUUGCAGGAGCAGGAGGUAGAAGGAGCACUUGUCGGGAGCACUGGAGUCAGGAACACUGGGGUAAGGAGCACUGUGUCAGGAACACAUGGAAGAAGGAGCACUGGUGUUAAGAGCACAUGGUGGCAGGAGCACGUGGUGGCAGGAGCAUUGGUGACAGGAGGACUCUGGCAGAAGCAUUGGAGUCAGGAUCACAUUGUGGAAGGAGCCCUGUUGUCGGGAUCAUAUGGUGGUAGGAGCAGGUUGUUACAGGAGCACUGGUGCAGAAGCAUUGCUGCAGGAGGAGGGAGGGAGCAGGAGCACUGUGGCAGGAGCAGGUCAUAGCAGGAGCACUGUGGGUGGAGCACUGUGGGUGGAGCAUUGGAGUCAGGAGCAUUGGUGUCAGGGACACUGUGGCAGGAGCACUGUGGUAGGAGCAGGUGUAGGAGGAGCAUUGUGUUUCAGGUGCACUGUUGUCCAGAGCCUUGUAACCUGAGCACUGUGGCAGGAGCACUAGUUUUAGGAGCUUGAUGUCAGGAACACUGGUGUUAGGCGCACUGCUGUCAGGAGCACUUUGGCUGGAGCUAGGAACUUGGUGGCAGGAGCACUGUGGUAUGAGUCCUGAUGUUAAGAGCAGGAGGUGCCAGGAACUAGAUGGCAGGAGCAGGAGAUAGCAGAAGCACUGGUUUUAGGCGCACUGGUUUUAGGCGCACUGGUUUUAGGAGCACUGAAUAUAGGAGCACGGGAGUCAGGUGCACAAGGUGACAGGAGCAUCUGUUUGCAGGAGCACGGUGUGCCAGGAACACUCAUGUCAGGAGCUGGCCGUGGCUGAUCUUAUUGUCUGCAGUGAGGAAAGGGAGACAGAGAAACAAUGGUGACCUGCAUGCUUUCCUUUCCCAGCCUCUGGCAUGGUGCUACCCAAUUCAGUGUUGGUCUUCCUCUUCAAUUAACCCCUGUAGAAACACCCUCCCAGGCACAGCAAGAUGUCCUUUAGAUGGCUCCAAUUCCCAUUAAGGUCACUAUCAAGAUUCACCACAACACAG
RNAcentral lists this long non-coding RNA (1327 nucleotides) under Mus spicilegus (steppe mouse). RNAcentral's name for it is "lncRNA (ENSMSIG00000023090.1)". The record is from RNAcentral. Lineage: Eukaryota; Metazoa; Chordata; Mammalia; Rodentia; Muridae.